GCCUUCUUAGCUCAGUUGGCAGAGCGUCCGCCUAGUAAGCGGAAGGUCAGCAGUUCAAAUCUGCUAGGAGGCA
This is a transfer RNA of Catenaria anguillulae PL171, 73 nucleotides long. It matches the Rfam family "tRNA". From Rfam's summary of the family: Transfer RNA (tRNA) molecules are approximately 80 nucleotides in length. Their secondary structure includes four short double-helical elements and three loops (D, anti-codon, and T loops). Further hydrogen bonds mediate the characteristic L-shaped molecular structure. tRNAs have two regions of fundamental functional importance: the anti-codon, which is responsible for specific mRNA codon recognition, and the 3' end, to which the tRNAs corresponding amino acid is attached (by aminoacyl-tRNA synthetases). tRNAs cope with the degeneracy of the genetic code in two manners: having more than one tRNA (with a specific anti-codon) for a particular amino acid; and 'wobble' base-pairing, i.e. permitting non-standard base-pairing at the 3rd anti-codon position. The record is from Rfam. Lineage: Eukaryota; Fungi; Blastocladiomycota; Blastocladiomycetes; Blastocladiales; Catenariaceae.